Molecule: ribosomal RNA, 508 nt
Filed under: uncultured bacterium
Lineage: Bacteria
Description: bacterial SSU rRNA
Rfam family: Bacterial small subunit ribosomal RNA
Source: RNAcentral
AUCCUGGCUCAGGAUGAACGCUAGCGGCAGGCUUAACACAUGCAAGUCGAGGGGCAUCGGGAGUAGCAAUACUUGCCGGCGACCGGCGCAAGGGUGCGUAACGCGUGAGCAACAUGCCCGUAUCAGGGGGAUAAUCCAUGGAAACGUGGUCUAAUACCCCAUAGUAAUUAUGUAAGGCAUCUUAUAUAAUUUAAAGCUUUGGUGGAUACGGAUUGGCUCGCGUGACAUUAGCUAGAUGGUAAGGUAACGGCUUACCAUGGCUACGAUGUCUAGGGGUUCUGAGAGGAAGGUCCCCCACACUGGAACUGAGACACGGUCCAGACUCCUACGGGAGGCAGCAGUGAGGAAUAUUGGACAAUGGAUGGAAAUCUGAUCCAGCCAUGCCGCGUGCAAGGAAGACGGCCCUAUGGGUUGUAAACUGCUUUUGUAUGGGAGCAAUAAGGGCUACGCGUAGUCCGAUGAGAGUACCAUACGAAUAAGCACCGGCUAACUCCGUGCCAGCAGCCGC